AGCUUUGCGCAGUGGCAGUAUCAUAGCCAAUGAGGUUUAUCUGAGGCGGGAUUAUUGCUAACUGAAAAAAAAAUGCUAUUUUGAUGGCCAUUUCCCAUGUAGACUAUUAUACUCCUCUUGGGCAAUGGCCUUAAUGUUUCCAAAUAAUUUUG
Molecule: small nuclear RNA, 152 nt
Filed under: Myotis brandtii (Brandt's bat)
Lineage: Eukaryota; Metazoa; Chordata; Mammalia; Chiroptera; Vespertilionidae
Description: U4 spliceosomal RNA
Rfam family: U4 spliceosomal RNA
About the family: U4 small nuclear RNA (U4 snRNA) is a component of the major U2-dependent spliceosome. The structure of U4 snRNA from yeast and human has been reported. U4 snRNA presents a k-turn RNA motif in the 5p-SL related to recognition of Snu13 protein.
Source: Rfam by way of RNAcentral